UUAAUUAAGGGGAGUAGCAGGAAAGAAAAAUGAAGUCAAAUUCAAGGAUGGACUUUUAUUGUAUGAACCUCCAGGUUAGUCUUGAACUGCUGAACAAAUAUGUUGGUGAAAGUGAGCUGACAAUAAGAGCAUUAUUUCAAGUUGAGGCGCAUUAGUCCUAUUGUCAGAACCUCAUUCUACAUUGGGAGCUCAUUAUUGAGCUCACCCUUCGACAGUUCUUUAGAUCAUAUUUCAAUAUGAAUAGAUGUGAAUAC
Molecule: long non-coding RNA, 254 nt
Organism: Zingiber officinale
Lineage: Eukaryota; Viridiplantae; Streptophyta; Magnoliopsida; Zingiberales; Zingiberaceae
Exons: 3
Source: RefSeq, a predicted model, not a curated record